UGGGCCAAUGAUGACUGGGUUUCGGGAUUAUAAGUCACUGACGAUGACUAUAUCAUUGGAGUUCUGAGGUCCAC
Molecule: small nucleolar RNA, 74 nt
Organism: Acomys russatus (golden spiny mouse)
Lineage: Eukaryota; Metazoa; Chordata; Mammalia; Rodentia; Muridae
Product: small nucleolar RNA SNORD113/SNORD114 family
Exons: 1
Source: RefSeq, a predicted model, not a curated record